GACGAACGCUGGCGGCGUGCUUAACACAUGCAAGUCGAACGAAGAGCGAUGGAAUCUUGCUUCUAUCAAUCUUAGUGGCGGACGGGUGAGUAACGCGUAAUCAACCUGCCCUUCAGAGGGGGACAACAGUUGGAAAGGACUGCUCAUACCGCAUACGAUCUAAUCUCGGCAUCGAGGAGAGAUGAACGGUGGCCGCGACAGGUCAGCUAUCACUGCAGGAGGGGAGUGCGUCAGAGUAGCUAGAUGGAGGGGUAACGUCGCACCAAGGCGAGGAUCAGUAGUCGGUCUGAGAGGACGGACGGCCACAUUGGGACGGUGACACGGCCCAGACGCCCACGGGAGGCAGCAGUGGGGAAUCUUGAGCCAUGGGCGAAAGUCUGAGGGAGCAACGCCGCGUGAGCGAUGACGGCCUUCGGGUUGUAAAGCUCGGUUAUUGGGGAGGAAAGGCCUUCUUGCGAAUAGUGAGAAGGAUUGACGGUACCGGAAUAGAAAGCCACGGCUAACUACGUG
Molecule: ribosomal RNA, 510 nt
Filed under: uncultured bacterium
Lineage: Bacteria
Description: partial 16S ribosomal RNA
Rfam family: Bacterial small subunit ribosomal RNA
Source: RNAcentral